Molecule: long non-coding RNA, 1879 nt
Organism: Eptesicus fuscus (big brown bat)
Lineage: Eukaryota; Metazoa; Chordata; Mammalia; Chiroptera; Vespertilionidae
Exons: 2
Source: RefSeq, a predicted model, not a curated record
CGGUCGCAGCAGCGGCCGCUGGGACCUAGGGUCCGAGUCAGAGCGGGUCAGGCGCCUGGCUGUGCAGGGAAGCGGAGCGGGACCGCGAGCGGGUGGACCCGGGGGGACAGCGCUGCGUCCGGAGAUCGGGCAAUAACUGCCGUGCGAGGCCCCCGGGAGGGAAGGGCGAACCCCGCGACGCCCAUAGGCAGGCAAGAGGGCGGGGGGCCAGUCUCCGUCAGCGGAGGGGUGACCACCCACCAGCGGGCAGAAGGGGACCAGUUUCUGCCCAUAGAGAGAAGGCGACGCCCUGCCGGAGGGCAGCAGAGGAGCGAGCCGAGCCCCGCCGGUCGCCAGGACUCGGAAGGGGACAAGGACAACAUGGAACCCCAGCAACAGCAGCGAGAGCACAGAGAUGGCAGGGUGUCGCGAGCAGUGGGCGUGGGGUGCGCUCCUGUGCUGUGGAAGGGAUGGCCCAGUGGUUAAGGUAAAACACGAGGCAACGUUGGCACCGUCUACAGCCAGCCGUGGGGACCUGCUUGCUACUGGUCUUGUCAUUCCCGGAGCCAGGGUGUCAGCUGGACUUGUCAUUCCCGGAGCCAGGGUGUCAGCUGGACUUGUCAUUCCCGGAGCCAGGGUGUCAGCUGGACUUGUCAUUCCCGGACCCAGGGUGUCAGCUGGUCUUGUCAUUCCCGGACCCAGGGUGUCAGCUGGUCUUGUCAUUCCCGGACCCAGGGUGUCAGCUGGUCUUGUCAUUCCCAGACCCAGGGUGCUCCACGGCUCCACAGUCCUCGUGCCCUUUCUCACCUUGCCGAAGGCCACGUGCUUGCCAAGCACGCCUCAGGCUCGGCAGCGCCGAUGAAAAGCUGGAACCGUUUGUGUUGGCCCAACUUUCGCCAUGGAGAAGAUGCCAGGACGCAUGUACUCGAGGGCGACUCUCAUUCCUCCCUGGAUGGACUCGCCGCCUGUGCCAUUAUGUUGUGUGAAGUCACCAGCCUGGCGCACAGAUCCCAGAAUAAUUCUGUGAAGGCAGGACCCUUCAUGGCCAAAUCACUCCUCCCCAGUGCUCAGAGCAGGGCCGUUUUCUGCUGUCUUUGGAACUUGGUCUGCAAAGAGCUGGAAGGAGAUGAGGCCCAAGGGCUCGCCGGCAAUGUUGAAGAACGCCGUGGGGUUGGCCUGGGCUAGGGCGGCUCCUGGGGCAGUGUCUGCAGUGUCUUCUCUGGAAAUUCUGUGGGCUUUACCUUUUCAUCACCUCCCCACCCCCACCCUGGCAGCAGUGUGGUGUGAGGCACCAUUGUGUCUCGCCUAGAUUUCUUUACUGGGUUCCUAACCGGUGUCCCUAUUUCUGCCCUACAGUUCAUUCUCAGUACAGUAGCCAGGGUGAUGGUGUUACACUCUAAGUCAUUUCUCUGCCUGAAACCCUCCGGGGCUCCUUAUCUCAGAGUAAAAGCUAAAGUGGCCUCCAAGGUCCUCUCUGCUCUGGCCCUGACCUUGGCUCCAUCAUCUCCAGACCUUGGCUCCUCCUUGCUCCCUCUGCUCCAGCCACACUGGCCUCCUUGCUGUCUUUUGAACUUGCCAGCCCUGCCCCUCCUGCCUCAGGACCUUUGCACAUGCUGCUCCCUUGGCCUGGAAUGGUCUUCCUUCAGAUUUCCCCAUCAUGGGCCCCCUCACCUCCUUCAAGUCUUUGUUCAGAUGUUAACUUCUCAGAUCAUACUUGACAUCUCCUCCCUCCUUUUUUUCUAUAGACCUUACCCUCUAAUAUUUACUUGUCUGCCUCCCUCACUAGAAUGUCAGUUCCCAACCUCAUGGAGCUGACAUUUGUCUGUUUUAUUUACUGCUGUAUCUCUGCUGCCUAAACCUGGCCCAUAGGAGGUGCUCAAUAAAUGUUUAUUUUAAAGAA